RNAcentral lists this RNase P RNA (415 nucleotides) under Dactylosporangium sp. RNAcentral's name for it is "RNase P RNA component class A". It matches the Rfam family "Bacterial RNase P class A". Rfam says of the family: Ribonuclease P (RNase P) is a ubiquitous endoribonuclease, found in archaea, bacteria and eukarya as well as chloroplasts and mitochondria. The record is from RNAcentral. Lineage: Bacteria; Bacillati; Actinomycetota; Actinomycetes; Micromonosporales; Micromonosporaceae.
CGAGUUGGCCGGGCGGUCGCGUCGGCGCCGGAAGGCGCCGCCGAGGAACGUCCGGGCUCCACAGGGCAGGGUGGUUGUUAACGGCAACCCGGGGUGACCCGCGGGAUGAGUGCCACAGAAAACAGACCGCCUGGAGGCUGGGCGACCAGCCGGCCAGGUAAGGGUGAAACGGUGGGGUAAGAGCCCACCAGCGCCCCGGGUGACCGGGGCGGCUCGGUAAACCCCACCCGGAGCAAGGCCAAAAGGGUCGGUCCGCUCCGGACCGGCCUGCGCGAGCGCUGGAGGGCUGCCCGCCCGAUGCUCGCGGGUGGGCCGCUGGAGCCCGCUGGCAACAGCGGGCCGAGAUGGAUGGCCGUCGCCCCCGGCCGGCAACGGCCGGGGGACACAGAACCCGGCGUACAGGCCAACUCGCCCA